UUGAAUUCUAUUUGAUCUAAAAUGAUUCCAUAUGAAUUUUUCACAUGUAUUUUAAUUCCUCCAAAAUUUCUUCCAUCAAAUUAAAUCCUUUUUCCCUCAUAAUUAUUUCAAAACUUAGAAAUUCAUAUCAUCAUCACAAAACUCAGAAAUUCAUCUUAGAAAUCCCUCCAUCUUCUUCAUCUUCAUAACCCAUAAAUUUUCUUCAUCUUCUUCCUCCUCGUCCUUCCUCCCCCACCCAAAACCACCAUCACCACCCAAACCCCCACCCAGAACCAAUUAGCAGCAGCAACAAUUGCUAUCCAUGGUCCUCGGCAACAAGUACCGUUCAUGGGCAAAAUAUCCAAAUCCUUCCAAUCAUACAUCCUCAUCUACGACAAUAAUUAAUUAUUCAUCAAACACAGUAAUUUUAAUUUCUUAUUCAACCACCACUACGACAAUAAUUUUAAUUUCUAAGUUUUUGGAGGAAGAUUGAAUUUCUAGGUUUUGAAAUAAUUAUGAGGGGAGAAGGACUUAAUUUGAUGGAAGAAAUUUUGGAGGAACUAAAAUAGAUGUGAAAAAUCUAUGUAAAACCAUUUUAGAUCAAAUAGAAUUUUAAAGAUUUAAAACCUUCGCAUUUUUUGUCCAUGUAUCAUUUUAGAUUCAUGCAUAUAAGUGAGGGACCAAACACAUAUUUAAUCCUAAAUAAAUUAAUAAAAAAAUAUAAAAAAUUCAAUCAAUUUUUCUUAAAUGUGAUUGGUCCACCUAGACUAUGGGUUAUUAAAC
Molecule: long non-coding RNA, 762 nt
Filed under: Lotus japonicus
Lineage: Eukaryota; Viridiplantae; Streptophyta; Magnoliopsida; Fabales; Fabaceae
Description: long non-coding RNA (LJAP_LNC001614)
Source: RNAcentral